This 85-nucleotide transfer RNA is filed under the name Felis catus (domestic cat). It matches the Rfam family "tRNA". Rfam says of the family: Transfer RNA (tRNA) molecules are approximately 80 nucleotides in length. Their secondary structure includes four short double-helical elements and three loops (D, anti-codon, and T loops). Further hydrogen bonds mediate the characteristic L-shaped molecular structure. tRNAs have two regions of fundamental functional importance: the anti-codon, which is responsible for specific mRNA codon recognition, and the 3' end, to which the tRNAs corresponding amino acid is attached (by aminoacyl-tRNA synthetases). tRNAs cope with the degeneracy of the genetic code in two manners: having more than one tRNA (with a specific anti-codon) for a particular amino acid; and 'wobble' base-pairing, i.e. permitting non-standard base-pairing at the 3rd anti-codon position. Lineage: Eukaryota; Metazoa; Chordata; Mammalia; Carnivora; Felidae. The record is from Rfam by way of RNAcentral.
ACCUGGGUGGCUCAGUCAGUUAAGCAUCUGACUUUGGCUCAGGUCAUGAUCUCAUAGUUUGUGGGUUUGAGCCCCAUGUCAGGUU